Molecule: long non-coding RNA, 261 nt
Filed under: Nicotiana benthamiana
Lineage: Eukaryota; Viridiplantae; Streptophyta; Magnoliopsida; Solanales; Solanaceae
Description: long non-coding RNA (NBEN_LNC001491)
Source: RNAcentral
GUAAAUACUGUGUCAUAGCAAAUCUUUAUAUUUUGGGAGAUUUCAGAGAAGGAUCAUGCAAUCUGUAUCACCAUGUGGACCCCUUCAUAAAAGGAGACAAAUAUAACUGUAGGUCCCUACUCGAGGAAAAAACUGUAACUGUAUGCUAGUUCUACCUUCCCACUAGCGAGUGCUAUAACUGUAUUCGGUAAUCGGUAAAUAAAAGGUGCACCAGGUCUAACGAACCCACCGUUAGCUACGGGAUCCUUCAAAGUCUCCUCC